This 253-nucleotide ribosomal RNA is filed under the name uncultured bacterium. RNAcentral's name for it is "partial 16S ribosomal RNA". It matches the Rfam family "Bacterial small subunit ribosomal RNA", at positions 524 to 776 of the family's 1533-position model. The record is from RNAcentral.
UACGUAGGGGGCAAGCGUUGUUCGGAAUUACUGGGCGUAAAGGGCGUGUAGGCGGUGCGGUAAGUUGGGCGUGAAAUCCCCGGGCUCAACCCGGGGCGGUCGUUCAAAACUGCCGCGCUAGAGUGUGGGAGAGGGAAGUGGAAUUCCCGGUGUAGCGGUGAAAUGCGUAGAUAUCGGGAAGAACACCGGUGGCGAAGGCGGCUUCCUGGCCCACAACUGACGCUGAGGCGCGAAAGCUAGGGGAGCAAACAGG